RNAcentral lists this unclassified non-coding RNA (301 nucleotides) under Hevea brasiliensis (rubber tree). Lineage: Eukaryota; Viridiplantae; Streptophyta; Magnoliopsida; Malpighiales; Euphorbiaceae. The record is from RNAcentral.
UGAUUUGAUUUUGAGUUUUUAAUAUUUUUAAUUUUGCAGUUCGAUUCGAUUCUUGUAGAGAGAAAUAGAAAACUAAACCAAACUGAUUUCCCUCUCUAAAGUGUAAAUUAAACCGUUUUUCCUCUCUAAAUCCAAUUUAAUCUCCCUAUAUAUAUAACAUGUUAUCUUUAAACAUUAACCAUUUACCCAUUCUCAACCGUCCCUACCAAACAGUCAAUAACCUAGCCCUCACUUCUCUCUCUCUCUCUGCUCUCAAACACCACGAUUCUCCUUCUCUUCUUCCUCUUCUUCUUCGCAUCAC